Long non-coding RNA from Drosophila ficusphila, 382 nucleotides. RefSeq lists it as uncharacterized. The transcript is spliced from 2 exons. The record is from RefSeq and is a predicted model, not a curated record. Lineage: Eukaryota; Metazoa; Arthropoda; Insecta; Diptera; Drosophilidae.
GCCAUAAUCUUGCUUAGUAUAUUACGAGAAGGCGAUAUAAGAUGGAACCCAAACUAAUUUUCAUCACUAUUGUUUUACUGAUAUUUCCGAUUAUUUCUUUUGCAUAUGAUAAAGAAAAAUGUGAUGCUCCACCCGCUGUUAGAAGCCCUUGCUUGGCCAUGACUAUGAAAUGGAGCUUUUAUAAAAACCACUGUAUUGAAUACCUUGAUGGUGGAUGUGGUCGCUCUAAAAACAGAUUUUCUACAAAGGAGGAAUGCGAAUCAUCUUGCAAAAAAUAAUACGCAUUAAGACAGUUUAUUUGAAAAGAAAUAAAGAAAUGAGAACAUUCAGUAUGUCUAAUGAAAAAUAUGAGCAAAAAUAAAAGAAAAAGUCUAAAUUUCAA